RNAcentral lists this long non-coding RNA (1279 nucleotides) under Mus musculus (house mouse). Its description in RNAcentral is "long non-coding RNA chr12:56628983-56630262". The record is from RNAcentral. Lineage: Eukaryota; Metazoa; Chordata; Mammalia; Rodentia; Muridae.
UCCGGAUUGUAGUUCAUUCCAAAUAUAGUCAAGUUGACAACCAGGAAUAGCCACUACAGUCACUCAGAGACUCUCGUAGAUGGGCUCCUGGAAAAAUCAUGGCAGAAAAAAAUCAGGGCGCCAUAGUGCUUCCAAAAGAGAAAGAAAGACCCAGAAGCCGGGAAUGGGCUCAAGAGCUGGUCAUAGACUUCUUUUUUCAUUAAUUUGUUUAUUUGUUUGUUUAUUUUUUAUUGGAUAUUUUCUUUAUUUACAUUUCAAAUUUUAUCCCCUUUCCAGCCCCCGAAACACCUUUAUCCCAUCCCUUUCUCCAUGCUUCUAUGAAGAUGUUCCCCUAUCCACCCACUCAAACGUCCCUACACUGAGGGAACGAGCCUUCACGGGACCAAGGGCUGCUUCUCCCAUUGAUGUCUGAUAAGGCCAUCCUCUGCUACAUAUGUAGCUGGAGCCAUGGGUGCCUCCAUGUGUACUCCUUGGUUAGUUGUUUGUUUAGUCCCUGGGAGCUCUGGGGCCUGGGGGGGGGCUGGUUGGUUGAUACUAUUGUUCUUCCUGUGGGGUUGCAAAACCUUUCAGCUCCUUCAGUCCUUUCUCUAACUCCUCCAUUGGGGACCCUGUGUUCAGUCCAAUGGUUGGCUGCAAGCAUCUACCUCUCUAUUUGCCAGGCACUGGCAUAGCCUCUUAGGAGUCAGCUAUAGCAGGCUCCUGUCAGCAUGAACAUCUUGGCAUCUAUAAUAGUGUCUGGGUUUGGUAACUGUAUAUGGGAUGGAUUCCCAGGUGGGGCAGUCUCUGGAUGGCCUUUCCUUCAAUCUCUGCUCCACACUUUGUCUCCAUAUUUGCUCCUUUUCUGAAAAGCAAUACCAGAAGUAAAAUGAAGUGCCAUGUUGGGGAGGGACCUGCUCCACACCAAGAGGUGUUUGAUGAUACUGACCAAGGAGGAAAGCCGUACUGAAAACCUUAUACGGAGCUGUAGUGGUAAGGUCAGAGCCCUAGAAUGUCAGACCUGCUCUCAGCUUGCUGAAACUCUGGCUCCUCUGACGUCAUCAUCGUGCAGCCUCUCUGCUUUCACCAGUUUUAUGAGAGCAAUGGAGUGGUUGCCAUUUAUGCCUUCUGUACAGAUUGAUCAGCACUGACAGACAGCAGAUCUAUUGAGGCAAAGGCCUACUCCUCACACUGACUUCACAUCAUCUGCAGUGCCCGAGGAGCUACAAAACCUUAUCCACCCAAUCCUUGGCACUCAGAAAGAGCCGGGCCUAAUUAACAUAAAUAAAUGGAAAAUCCAACU